Sipha flava (yellow sugarcane aphid) is the source of this 970-nucleotide long non-coding RNA. RefSeq lists it as uncharacterized. The transcript has 4 exons. The record is from RefSeq and is a predicted model, not a curated record. NCBI's taxonomy places the organism in Eukaryota, Metazoa, Arthropoda, Insecta, Hemiptera, Aphididae.
AUGUAUAUUUAUCAGCAUAACGAUUAUGCUAAUUACUUUUCGAUUAAAUUUAAAUAAUAUAAAUGCCCAAACGUUGAUAGACGGUAGGCACGCGCGCCGGUGAAUACGAUAUUCCCGUUUCGCGUCGUAAGAUAUUAAUAUUAUAAUCGUGUAUCACGCCGUUAUCACCGAUACGUACAAGUUUAUCAAUAUUCGAUAGUAACAAUGAUGUUAUCACCGUUUACCGGAUACGAUUCAUUACUCAUCGCCGAUCUGCUAUUGUUGUGUGCUAAUAUAAAAUACUGCCGGUGAACUAUAAGUAAAUCAAUUUAAGAAAAACAAAAACGCUUUUGCCCGCGUACGAUUUGGACGUCUGUGGUUUUUUUUUUAACAGGAUGUGAUGAAUUUUUACCGUUCCUGUUUUCGAUUCGGUCUCACGCGCGAUCGUCCUACGUAAUUUCAACUCGGAACAAUAGGUUUGCGCGUCGUCACCCCGUUCGAUCCAAGGCGUAUGUUAAUAGAAAACAGAAAUGAACGAAGACAAAUAUAGCAGCCCUAGUAAUCGGAUUGCAUCCCUUUCGAUAAUGUUAAACAGAAUUUUCAUAUCAAAUUAUUUAUCUGUUGUUUGCAAUCCACACACUGUUAAUUAACAUGAUUUACUUUGCUUUUGGAUAAUUAUGUGCAGUUCAAAGUUAAGAAAACAGUUACAUGUAAUGCAAACAAAUGAUUAUGGUUGUAAUUGAUAAUUGUAUGGACAUUAUGUAAAAUCUGUAUUGCAUGUGUGUAAUAUGUAUUACAUAAAGAUAUACACAGACUAAGAUUUGUAAUAAAAACAUGUUUAUAUGUAGAGAUAAAUGUAUCUUGUCUUCAUGGUGCAAAAAAGGCAGUAAAUAUGAAAACUACUGAAUGUAGGCAUAUAUUGAAAUUAUUUUCUUGGUAAAAAACUUGAUGCGCAUAUAAAAUGUAUUAAAUAUGCAAUAAACAAGCUAUU